Molecule: ribosomal RNA, 465 nt
Filed under: uncultured bacterium
Lineage: Bacteria
Description: bacterial SSU rRNA
Rfam family: Bacterial small subunit ribosomal RNA
Source: RNAcentral
CCUACGGGUGGCUGCAGUGAGGAAUAUUGCGCAAUGGGGGCAACCCUGACGCAGCGACGCCGCGUGAGUGAAGAAGGCCUUCGGGUUGUAAAGCUCUGUCGGAAGGGAAGAACGGUUCAGGUGUUAAUACCAUCUGGAUUUGACGGUACCUUCAAAGGAAGCACCGGCUAACUCCGUGCCAGCAGCCGCGGUAAUACGUAGGGGGCUAGCGUUAUCCGGAAUUACUGGGCGUAAAGGGUGCGUAGGCGGCCCUUCAAGUCAGAGGUGAAAGGCUACGGCUCAACCGUAGUAAGCCUUUGAAACUGUAGGGCUUGAGUGCAGGAGAGGAGAGUGGAAUUCCCAGUGUAGCGGUGAAAUGCGUAGAUAUUGGGAGGAACACCAGUUGCGAAGGCGGCUCUCUGGACUGUAACUGACGCUGAGGCACGAAAGCGUGGGGAGCGAACAGGAUUAGAUACCCGUGUAGUC